UACGUAGGGCGCAAGCGUUAUCCGGAAUCAUUGGGCGUAAAGAGCUCGUAGGCGGUUUGUCGCGUCUGCCGUGAAAGCCCGGGGCUCAACUCCGGAUCUGCGGUGGGUACGGGCAGACUAGAGUGAUGUAGGGGAGACUGGAAUUCCUGGUGUAGCGGUGAAAUGCGCAGAUAUCAGGAGGAACACCGAUGGCGAAGGCAGGUCUCUGGGCAUUAACUGACGCUGAGGAGCGAAAGCAUGGGGAGCGAACAGG
Molecule: ribosomal RNA, 253 nt
Filed under: uncultured bacterium
Lineage: Bacteria
Description: partial 16S ribosomal RNA
Rfam family: Bacterial small subunit ribosomal RNA
Source: RNAcentral